GACGAACGCUGGCGGUGUGCUUAACACAUGCAAGUCGAACGGAAAGGCCCUGCUUUUGUGGGGUGCUCGAGUGGCGAACGGGUGAGUAACACGUGAGUAACCUGCCCUUGACUUUGGGAUAACUUCAGGAAACUGGGGCUAAUACCGGAUAGGAGCUCCUGCUGCAUGGUGGGGGUUGGAAAGUUUCGGCGGUUGGGGAUGGACUCGCGGCUUAUCAGCUUGUUGGUGGGGUAGUGGCUUACCAAGGCUUUGACGGGUAGCCGGCCUGAGAGGGUGACCGGCCACAUUGGGAAUGAGAUACGGCCCAGACUCCUACGGGAGGCAGCAGUGGGGAAUAUUGCACAAUGGGCGGAAGCCUGAUGCAGCAACGCCGCGUGCGGGAUGACGGCCUUCGGGUUGUAAACCGCUUUCGCCUGUGACGAAGCGUGAGUGACGGUAAUGGGUAAAGAAGCACCGGCUAACUACGUG
Molecule: ribosomal RNA, 468 nt
Filed under: uncultured bacterium
Lineage: Bacteria
Description: partial 16S ribosomal RNA
Rfam family: Bacterial small subunit ribosomal RNA
Source: RNAcentral